This 253-nucleotide ribosomal RNA is filed under the name uncultured bacterium. Its description in RNAcentral is "partial 16S ribosomal RNA". It matches the Rfam family "Bacterial small subunit ribosomal RNA", at positions 524 to 776 of the family's 1533-position model. The record is from RNAcentral.
UACGAAGGGGGCUAGCGUUGCUCGGAAUCAUUGGGCGUAAAGCGCGCGUAGGCGGCCCUGUAAGUCCGUUGUGAAAGUCAAAGGCUCAACCUUUGAAAGCCGAUGGAUACUGCAGGGCUAGAGUCCGGAAGAGGCGAGUGGAAUUCCUGGUGUAGCGGUGGAAUGCGCAGAUAUCAGGAGGAACACCAAUAGCGAAGGCAGCUCGCUGGGACGGUACUGACGCUAAGGCGCGAAAGCGUGGGGAGCGAACAGG